CCUACGGGUGGCAGCAGUGGGGGAUAUUGCACAAUGGGGGAAACCCUGAUGCAGCGACGCCGCGUGGGCGAAGAAGUAUUUCGGUAUGUAAAGCCUUAUUAGCAGGGAAGAAGAAAUGACGGUACCUGAGUAAGAAGCACCGGCUAAAUACGUGCCAGCAGCCGCGGUAAUACGUAUGGUGCAAGCGUUAUCCGGAUUUACUGGGUGUAAAGGGAGCGCAGGCGGGACGGCAAGCCUGAUGUGAAAGCCCGCGGCCCAACCGCGGGACUGCAUUGGGAACUACCGGGCUGGAGUACCGGAGAGGUAGGCGGAAUUCCUAGUGUAGCGGUGAAAUGCGUAGAUAUUAGGAGGAACACCAAUGGCGAAGGCAGCCUACUAAACGGUGACUGACGCUGAGGCUCGAAAGCGUGGGGAGCAAACAGGAUUAGAUACCCCAGUAGUC
This 442-nucleotide ribosomal RNA is filed under the name uncultured bacterium. RNAcentral describes it as "partial 16S ribosomal RNA". It matches the Rfam family "Bacterial small subunit ribosomal RNA", at positions 338 to 795 of the family's 1533-position model. The record is from RNAcentral.